Molecule: ribosomal RNA, 460 nt
Filed under: uncultured bacterium
Lineage: Bacteria
Description: partial 16S ribosomal RNA
Rfam family: Bacterial small subunit ribosomal RNA
Source: RNAcentral
ACUACGGGAGGCAGCAGUGAGGAAUAUUGGUCAAUGGGCGGAAGCCUGAACCAGCCAAGUAGCGUGCAGGAUGACGGCCCUACGGGUUGUAAACUGCUUUUAUACGGGAAUAACGCGCCUUACGUGUAGGGCUUUGCAUGUACCGUAUGAAUAAGGACCGGCUAAUUCCGUGCCAGCAGCCGCGGUAAUACGGAAGGUCCGGGCUUUAUCCGGAUUUAUUGGGUUGAAAGGGAGCGUAGGCCGCAUGUCAAGCGUGCUGUGAAAUGUCCGGGCUCAACCCGGGCCUUGCAGCGCGAACUGGCGUGCUUGAGUCCGCGGAAAGCAGGCGGAAUUCGUCGUGUAGCGGUGAAAUGCUUAGAUAUGACGAAGAACCCCGAUUGCGAAGGCAGCUUGCUGCAGCGGAACUGACGCUGAUGCUCGAAAGCGCGGGUAUCGAACAGGAUUAGAUACCCUUGUAGUC